GUCUGCCUCUUUCUUCUCUCUCUGCCCUCUGUGUGCCCUCCAGAGUAAGGGGCUGGUUUCAAAUUUCACCCAGGAAGUUCACAAGAUCAGGCAACGCUGUCAUAUGUCUCCUCUACUCCAAGAGAUGAAUGUUCUAAACCAGCAGAAACCAGAAUACCACAUGCCAGUAUGAAGACAGAGGAGGAAAAGGGGGCACAAAAACCCAGCAGUGCUUCCUGUUGUGACAUCUAGAGCUGCAGCAACCAUCCCAUACCCAUGAGGUGACCGGCACAAGAACAAAAGCCAGCACACUGAGGAUGGUGGAGACGGAAGAAGUGACCCUGGCCAUCAGUGUUUCGGUCCAGCUGCUGAACCAGCC
Long non-coding RNA from Balaenoptera ricei (Rice's whale), 358 nucleotides. RefSeq lists it as uncharacterized. NCBI's taxonomy places the organism in Eukaryota, Metazoa, Chordata, Mammalia, Artiodactyla, Balaenopteridae. The record is from RefSeq and is a predicted model, not a curated record. The transcript is spliced from 3 exons.